Balaenoptera musculus (blue whale) is the source of this 1785-nucleotide long non-coding RNA. RefSeq lists it as uncharacterized. The transcript has 4 exons. The record is from RefSeq and is a predicted model, not a curated record. Lineage: Eukaryota; Metazoa; Chordata; Mammalia; Artiodactyla; Balaenopteridae.
CUUCUCCGGUGAAGUUGCUUUCCUACUGACAUUAGCAAACAAAAUAAAUACAAUUUAUCUUUUAUGCUUGUCCCGGCAUCUGAUAGAACACCUGGCACUUCCUAGAUUCUCUAUCAGUGCUUUUGCUUUGGGUAGAUGGAGAUUUGAUUCAGUUUUAUUUGAUACAUGUAAGAGUGGCCUGCUGAGUACAUCAGAAAGAAGACUGUGAGUCCUGAACAGACAGCAGAAUCUCACAGCCCAAACUCCACAUGCCAUUCAUGUAACCGUGUAGCACUGCAGCUCUGCUGUUGAGGUUUGCACUGCCCACUCCAGUAGCCACUAGGCACCUCAAGCCACUGAGCACAUGAAAUGAGGCCCGUCUGAACCGAGGUAUGUAGCAGGCAUAAAAUACACCCUUGGAUUUCAAAGACUUGGUACCAAAGAAGAAGGCAUGUUCCCCAAAACACUCCCUAAUGCAGCUCCUGUGUGAUGAGUCUGCUUCCCAGGAAACUCAACUUGCAACAGUGGUAGGAGUGGCCCAAGGAAACAGAUGCUCACGUGGGAUUCUGAAGCUGCCACCUGACUAGCCAGCUAGCAGUGAAGACCCUGAUCAUCAGAAGGAGGAGGGCUGCUCUAUAUAAUGGGACAGAGAAGAAUGUGACGGCAUCCUCCUGGUCCACUGGAGUGCCUCUUGACAUUUCCUUGCUCAUCUUGAUGAUAAAUGGAUAAACACAGCAGUAAUACUUAAGAAAGUCAUGGAGAUCAGGAGCUCAGAGGCCUCAGAAAUGAAGAUCUGGGUCUUGCCAACAGGAAAAGAGAUCCAACAGCAUCUUGGAGGAACUCUUCCCAGAAUUUAUAUGAAGUGGAUCUGAGUAGUGCAAAUGGUGGACCAUAGUGGAAGCUGUGAUGUGCCACUCUGUCUCCUUGAAGACUGAAGGACUUAUUCCUCCAGCUAUUCAGGGCACCAUUGGCUGACAGUCAUCAGAAAUUACUAUAGGCUGGAGAGUUCUGCCUUGCACAAAGUUCCCAUGCUUCCUUCCCCAGGGCAGCUCAGAUCUAAUAACUGGUCAAUGUGUAAUAUAAAGGCCCAAAUCCCUCAGCUUAUCUCAGGACAUUAAAGGACAUCAGAGCUUCAGGAUCCCCAGAGGGUUAGCCUAGCCUUUGCUGAGACCCCAUCACAGUGCAAUUUCUUCUACUGCUUCCUUCUCUCCCUUUCCACAGUGUUGAUCCUGGGAGUGCGCCCUAUAAAAGUUUCUGCACACUGAUCUCCAUCCCAGAGUUUGCUUCCUGGGAACCCCACCCUACGACAAAAACAUUGGGACACCUGAUGAAAUUUGAAUAUGGACUCUUUUUUAAAUAAUGGGGUCGUACCAAUGUUAAAUUUCCUGAUUUUUGAUCAUAUAUUGUGUUUAUAUAAGAGAAUGUUUUUGUUCUUAGGAAACACACUGACAAAAACAGAAAUAAAGGCACACAGUAUCUGCAACUUAAUUUCAAAUGAUUUAGAAAAAAUUUGUACAUGGAGAGGUGGAAGAUCAGACAAAAAGAAGAAAAUAGGGCUAAAUGGCAACAAUUGGCGAAUCUGGGUAAAAACUAUGGAGGUUAUUUAUACACUUCUUGCAACUUUUCUGUAAGUUUGAAUUUACAUCAAUAUUACAAAUUACCAAAGUAAAAUGACCAGACCUCAUACCAUUCUCAGAGAUUCUGAUUCCCUUGGGUGCUAUUAUAUUUCCAGCACUCAGCUCCAGUCUGUAGGUAUUCAAUAAAUAUUUACUGAGUAAAUGAAUGAGUUAAUGAGUAACCUUGGAA